GUUAAAAAGCUCGUAGUCGGAUUUCAGUAUUAGGCCCUUCUUCCAAUACGGUUGCUAGUGGUCUUUACUUCCUUAACCGAAUCUUUCAUCUCAUUAAUUUGGGGUGUUUGGGGCCUGUUUCUUUUACUUUGAGAAAAUUAGAGUGUUCAAAGCGGGUUUUCGCCUGGAUAUUACUCUUGGAAUAAUAAUAUAGGACUUUGGUUCUUUUUUGUUGGUGACUUAGAACCGAAGUAAUGAUUGAUAGGGACAGUUGGGGUCAUUCGUACUAUGAAGCGAGAGGUGAAAUUCAUGGACCUUUGUAUGACGAACUACUGCGAAAGCAUUUGACUAGGAUGUUCCCGUUGAUCAAGAACGAAAGUUGGGGGAUCGAAGACGAUCAGAUACCGUCGUAGUCUCAACCAUAAACUAUGCCAGCUAGGGAUUGGAGGAAGAUCAUUUUACGUCUCCUUCAGCACCUUAUGAGAAAUCAAAGCAUUUGGGUUCCGGGGGGAGUAUGGUCGCAAGGCUGAAACUUAAAGGAAUUGACGGGAGGGCACCACCAGGAGUGGAGCCUGCGGCUUAAUUUGAUUCAACACGGGAAAACUUACCAGGUCCGGACAUGGGAAGGAUUGACAGAUUGAAAGCUCUUUCU
This 631-nucleotide ribosomal RNA is filed under the name uncultured marine eukaryote. RNAcentral's name for it is "SSU rRNA". It matches the Rfam family "Eukaryotic small subunit ribosomal RNA", at positions 618 to 1262 of the family's 1831-position model. The record is from RNAcentral.